GGAUGAACGCUAGCGGCAGGCCUAACACAUGCAAGUCGAGGGGUAACGGGGUGCUUGCACCGCCGACGACCGGCGCACGGGUGCGUAACGCGUAUACAAUCUACCUUGUACUAUUGGAUAGCCCAGAGAAAUUUGGAUUAAUACAAUAUAGUAUCAUAUUACGGCAUCGUAUUUAUGAUUAAAGGUUACGGUACAAGAUGAGUAUGCGUCCUAUUAGUUAGUUGGUGUGGUAACGGCACACCAAGACUACGAUAGGUAGGGGCCCUGAGAGGGGGAUCCCCCACACUGGUACUGAGACACGGACCAGACUCCUACGGGAGGCAGCAGUGAGGAAUAUUGGACAAUGGGCGAGAGCCUGAUCCAGCCAUGCCGCGUGCAGGAAGACUGCCCUAUGGGUUGUAAACUGCUUUUUUACGGGAAGAAACACCCCCUCGUGAGGGGGCUUGACGGUACCGUACGAAUAAGGAUCGGCUAACUCCGUGCCAGCAGCCGCGGUAAUACGGAGGAUCCAAGCGUUAUCCGGAAUCAUUGGGUUUAAAGGGUCCGUAGGCGGGCAGCUAAGUCAGUGGUGAAAGUCUGUAGCUCAACUAUAGAAUUGCCAUUGAUACUGGUUGUCUUGAAUUAUUAUGAAGUGGUUAGAAUAUGUAGUGUAGCGGUGAAAUGCAUAGAUAUUACAUAGAAUACCAAUUGCGAAGGCAGAUCACUAAUAAUAUAUUGACGCUGAUGGACGAAAGCGUGGGGAGCGAACAGGAUUAGAUACCCUGGUAGUCCACGCCGUAAACGAUGGAUACUAGCUGUUCGAUCUUCGGAUUGAGUGGCUAAGCGAAAGUGAUA
RNAcentral lists this ribosomal RNA (834 nucleotides) under uncultured Jejudonia sp. RNAcentral's name for it is "bacterial SSU rRNA". It matches the Rfam family "Bacterial small subunit ribosomal RNA", at positions 27 to 862 of the family's 1533-position model. Lineage: Bacteria; Pseudomonadati; Bacteroidota; Flavobacteriia; Flavobacteriales; Flavobacteriaceae. The record is from RNAcentral.